RNAcentral lists this ribosomal RNA (713 nucleotides) under uncultured Lachnospiraceae bacterium. RNAcentral describes it as "bacterial SSU rRNA". It matches the Rfam family "Bacterial small subunit ribosomal RNA", at positions 28 to 738 of the family's 1533-position model. The record is from RNAcentral. Lineage: Bacteria; Bacillati; Bacillota; Clostridia; Lachnospirales; Lachnospiraceae.
GACGAACGCUGGCGGCGUGCCUAACACAUGCAAGUCGAACGGAACUGUUUUGAAAGAUUUCUUCGGAAUGAAUUUGAUUUAGUUUAGUGGCGGACGGGUGAGUAACGCGUGAGUAACCUGCCUUCAAGAGGGGGAUAACAUUCUGAAAAGAAUGCUAAUACCGCAUGACAUAUUGGAACCACAUGGUUUUGAUAUCAAAGAUUUUAUCGCUUGAAGAUGGACUCGCGUCCGAUUAGUUAGUUGGUGAGGUAACGGCUCACCAAGACCGCGAUCGGUAGCCGGACUGAGAGGUUGAACGGCCACAUUGGGACUGAGACACGGCCCAGACUCCUACGGGAGGCAGCAGUGGGGGAUAUUGCGCAAUGGGGGCAACCCUGACGCAGCAACGCCGCGUGAAGGAUGAAGGUUUUCGGAUUGUAAACUUCUUUUAUUAAGGACGAAAAAUGACGGUACUUAAUGAAUAAGCUCCGGCUAACUACGUGCCAGCAGCCGCGGUAAUACGUAGGGAGCAAGCGUUGUCCGGAUUUACUGGGUGUAAAGGGUGCGUAGGCGGCUUUGCAAGUCAGAUGUGAAAUCUAUGGGCUCAACCCAUAAACUGCAUUUGAAACUGUAGAGCUUGAGUGAAGUAGAGGCAGGCGGAAUUCCCCGUGUAGCGGUGAAAUGCGUAGAGAUGGGGAGGAACACCAGUGGCGAAGGCGGCCUGCUGGGCUUUA